UAAAAUUUAAAAAUUAAAAUACUAAAUUAUUAAUUGUUAUGUUCUUGAAAUUUAAAAAGUUUGGCGGUAUUUUAUCUAAUUAGAGGAACUUGUUUUUUAAUUGAUAUUCCUCAAUAAAUCUUACUUAAAUUUUAAAAAUUUAUAUACCGUCAUUAUAAAAAAAUCUUUAAAUAGUAAUAAUUUUUAUAAAAAUUUAUAAUUUUAAAUUUUAGAUCAAGGUGUAGUUUAUAUUUAAGUUAAAAUGAGUUACAAUAAAUUUAUUUAAAUGAAUUAAAUUAUGAAAUUAAUUUAUAAAGGUGGAUUUAUUAGUAAAUUUAUUUAAUAAGUUAAAUUGAUUUUAGUUCUAAAAUGUGU
This 354-nucleotide ribosomal RNA is filed under the name Lygistorrhina sanctaecatharinae. RNAcentral describes it as "partial 12S ribosomal RNA". Lineage: Eukaryota; Metazoa; Arthropoda; Insecta; Diptera; Keroplatidae. The record is from RNAcentral.